RNAcentral lists this long non-coding RNA (1008 nucleotides) under Carassius auratus (goldfish). Its description in RNAcentral is "lncRNA (ENSCARG00000026275.1)". The record is from RNAcentral. Lineage: Eukaryota; Metazoa; Chordata; Actinopteri; Cypriniformes; Cyprinidae.
AGAGGACCUGUCGCCUAUUGAGGAAAGACUGGAAGAUGAUGAGCGCACCAUGGAUGCCUCUGAGGUUCUGGAGGAAAGUCUACAGAACAUGAGCAUCCAGGAUGCUGAAACCCAGGUCAUGAAUGAGCAGGAGAUAAAUGAUCUAAUGAACAGUGUAAUUGAUUGGGGGGACAGUGAAGGUGUUAGUAAUGAGGAGAUUGAAGCAGAUGACAGUGAAGAUGAGGACUAUGUCCCUCGUAUUUGUAUUCGGUUGGGUGGAGCAUUGCAGGCACCACCAUGCAUUGAUAAUCUGCCUGUGAUAGAUGCCAGUGAGACAGUACAUGACAUCCCGGAUGUAGAGCCUCCAUCAGUCACCUUACCUACACUUCAACAACCUGGCUUUCCUGAUACACUGGAGGUCAUGACUGAAGAUGACCUAAUCGGGAAACGGGCCUCCAUCACUUAUGAGGACUGUUUGAGGCAGCUUGCAACAUUACUUGUGCUUCCGGUCCAAAAGUGCCCAUACACAUGUGACGUCAGUAAAAUGGAGUGUCAGUGUCGCCCUCCAUUUGAAGUUUCCAUUACACGCAGGGGUACUGCAAGCAUCAUGGAAUGGGUAUGUGUUGUAAUCAUACUACAUUGCAAAUAAGUGUAGAUUGGUGUUGGAGGCAAUGUCAAUACGUUGACAGUGGUUUUGUGAAACUCAAUCAAGCUUCCUGAGUUGUAGUUUCCACUUAGUGGAAGCAAUUCUGUUUGUAUUUGAUAAUGCUAAAUAGCCUAAGUUGUGUCCCAUUUAUUGUCAGACCUGCCUUGUUGGCCACACUGUAUGGAGAUGGAGCUCACAGCCAACUUUGAGGUACGGGAUGCUAGCAGGGGACUUUAUGUUGGCAAGCAACAUACUACUCUCCGGAAGCAACUACUCCAAAGUCUCGCUUCUGUUCCAGUUUAUGAACAUGGGGAUGGUGGACCGUAGUUCAUUUUUCACAAUUCAGGACACAUACAGUGUAGACACUGUGAAGGAGUUUUGGG